CAGAUUCUGCGAUAUGCGUGAUGCGGCAGUGUCAGGAGCCGAACCAACACAAUCCAAUCGGGAGUUCAGCCAGGCGGCGUGGAAGUGAUAGCCCUCUCCGGGCAAGACCGAAGCGCCCAGCGGACACCCACCUGUUUCAAGCGGUUCAUGCCCACACACCACACGGUAGGUGCGGAGUCAAA
This 182-nucleotide non-coding RNA is filed under the name Chloroflexota bacterium. RNAcentral describes it as "Chloroflexi bacterium (anaerobic digester metagenome) 6S RNA". It matches the Rfam family "6S / SsrS RNA". Rfam says of the family: E. coli 6S RNA was the first non coding RNA to be sequenced, but its function was unknown until recently. It consists of 184 nucleotides that fold into an extended hairpin structure with a large single-stranded internal bulge. The record is from RNAcentral. Lineage: Bacteria; Bacillati; Chloroflexota.